UUUAAAGCGGGAGGGAAACUCAAGGGUCGCCUAAACCAAUUCAACAAGCCCAUAAUCCCGAAUUCAGGAAUUUGUCACGUCACUUGAGAUCAGAAUGAAGUUAAGUUUCGAUCCCUUUGAGAUCUCUUAGCGCACAAAGUCAGGCUAUCAUUACAAGAGGAGUCCGACCCUGGCUGUAGGAAAACGACUCGGUGCGGAACUCGAGUCUCUUCCGGCCACUGUGUGGGGCCGCACCAGUCAGGUCCAGCGAGGAGCUGGGGCGCGAGUUUGGGGGCGCAGCCGGGCCCGGCGGGGGCGGCGAGCGCGCGUCCCCCCGCCCGCUCAGGCAGCGUCGAGGCGCGAGCAGCUCAGCCAGCCUUGCAGAGGGAGCUCUCGGCAGCUCUGGGGUCUCUCUGCUCGCAGCCGCAGCAGCGCCGCCUGCGCCACUCGGCGGAGACGUAGACCAGAGGCGGCGGCGCGCGGACUGGGAGCGACCGCAGAGCAGCCGAGCGGCAGGGGUACGCUCGCAGAGCGGCCGGGGAUGCACCUGCGGACUUUACCCAACUUGCAAUGAUGAAGUUCACCUACCACAGACUGGAGGAUGUUCUGGUGGCUCAGGGAGGAGAGCCUUUGGUACUGAUGGGAACUGACUGAGGUCUGUAUUCUGAACUCCCUUACUUUCGAUAUCACGGAUAACAAGCAGACCCAGCAUCAAGGAGACAGCUUCUGCGCUAUUCAGCAGAUUGUUUCAUUAUGAGGAUGCCAGCCCAAUAUUGACAGAUUUUUCUGGGUGUUUCUGAAAAAGGAAAUCAGACGGGCGCCUGUGUGGUACAGUCGAAUAAGCGUCUGACUUUGGCUCAAGUCAUGAUCUUGGCGGUUCGUGAGUUUUAGCCUCGCAUUGGGCUUUUGUGCUGGCAGCUCCAAGCCUGGAGCUUGUUUUGGAUUCUGUGUCUCCUGCUCUCUCUGCCCCUUACCUGCUCAAGCUAGGUCUCUCAAAAAUAAACAUUAAAAAAAAGGGGGGGGGAUCAGAAAUCUAGAUUUUUGUAAUGUAAAUCUUCAGAUAUUUAGAUGUUAGCAACUAAAUCAGAUGUUUUUAAAAUGCAUAAGGUUGAUUAAACCAUUCGUGUGGGCUGUCAGUGUAUGGCCUCUGACUUGGAGAGGAGAAUGAAGAGAAAUUCCAAGGCCAGAUCCUAGACACUCCAGCAUUUAGAAAUAGGUAGGGUAAUGAAGGAGAAUGAGAGGGAGCAGCCAGGAAGGCAAGAAAGAAAUCCACAAGACUGUUGAGUUUGGAACCCAAGGGCAGAGAAGGUUUAGGGUAGGGAGGAGUGGUCAACUGUGCCUAGUGCUGCUGAGAGGUCAGCUUGGGCCAGAGACAUGGCUGUUGGACUGGUCACCUUGGAAGUCACUGGACAAUAUCAAUGGUGACUGGCUUGAUUCAUGUUGGUAAAUCAACAGAUGCAGAUCUCACUAGAAUGAGUUUGAAGAGUGAAUGGAAAAGUAAGGGAAUAGAGAUAGCACACAUAAGCAAGAUGAGAAGUUUUGUUGUGAAGGGAGCAAAGAAAUUUAGGGAUAAAUGGAAGGUAAUGGGUCAAGGGAGGAGAUGUUUUAAAACAUGAUAGAGUUCUUGAUUGUGUUUAUGUGCCAUUGGGAGUGAUACAGGAGAGAGAAGGCUUGCUUGACUUACAUAGGAAUGAAACCCAUGAGAGGAUAUAAGGGAACGGAGAACUGACCUCAGGAACAGGAUGCUUCUGCUGUGAAGUAACGAAGGUGAAGAUGGAUGCAAAUGCUGGGGAGAGGAAAAGCAAGCUUACAGCUUUCCUGAGUAGGACUGCCUUGUCAGCAUUGGGUACCCAUUUGAAGUUUGUGAUCAUGACUUUAAAGUUAAACCAGUUGGCCCAGUAUGUGGUUUUUUUCCAGCAACAUUCAGCUGCUUGGGUGCAGACAUGCAGAAAAGGGAUAAUUUGGUUUCUCAACACCAGUCCUAAGUUUUCUGGUUCCUAAUCUCAGGUACUUGAUUUAUGUGACUAGCUAAUAUUCUAGAAAUAUGUGAAUAUUUGGAAAAUUUACAUGUGACCCCUUUUACUAGAAACCAAAUGAUCCCAUUUGUCUUUUAUGUACACCUGAGGACUCAAAAAUAAAACCCUCAAACUUAGAGGGAAAUUACCAUAUACCUCCAGAA
Long non-coding RNA from Herpailurus yagouaroundi (jaguarundi), 2158 nucleotides. RefSeq lists it as uncharacterized. NCBI's taxonomy places the organism in Eukaryota, Metazoa, Chordata, Mammalia, Carnivora, Felidae. The transcript has 2 exons. The record is from RefSeq and is a predicted model, not a curated record.